This 435-nucleotide unclassified non-coding RNA is filed under the name uncultured bacterium. RNAcentral describes it as "contains 16S-23S intergenic spacer region". The record is from RNAcentral.
UCGGUGUGUACAAGACCCGGGAACGCAUUCACCCCGACAUUCUGAUUCGGGAUUACUAGCAACUCCGACUUCAUGUGGGCGGGUUGCAGCCCACAAUCCGAACUGAGACUAUCUUUUUGAGAUUCGCUUACCGUUACCGGCUCGCAGCUCUUUGUAAUAGCCAUUGUAGCACGUGUGUAGCCCAAGACGUAAGGGGCAUGAUGAUUUGACGUCAUCCCCACCUUCCUCCGAGUUAUCCCCGGCAGUCUGACUAGAGUUCCUAACUUAAUAUUGGCAACUAAUCAUAAGGGUUGCGCUCGUUGCGGGACUUAACCCAACAUCUCACGACACGAGCUGACGACAACCAUGCACCACCUGUAUCCGCGUCCCCGAAGGGAACUACUUAUCUCUAAAUAUGGCACGGUAUGUCAAGUCUUGGUAAGGUUCUUCGCGUUA